Pecten maximus is the source of this 4135-nucleotide long non-coding RNA. RefSeq lists it as uncharacterized. Lineage: Eukaryota; Metazoa; Mollusca; Bivalvia; Pectinida; Pectinidae. The record is from RefSeq and is a predicted model, not a curated record. The transcript is spliced from 2 exons.
UCUUGAUUAACAUUAUACUUAGCACUUGUGAUUUUUGUUGAACUGUUUUUUGCUUCUUUUUUUUUUGUCUCAGGUGACUGACAUCACAUAAAAAGUGUUGUCAUCAAUUUUUGUUGUUCUCGGUGAAUGAUUUCUCUAUAUCAGCCUCUCUAAGUUGGUAUGUAAUCAUAAAAUUUACAUUUUGAUCUGUUUGAUCCCAGUAUAAACUAGGACAAUAUAUGCGAGAUUAAUUAUUUUAAGUAGAAGAUUAGUAACUAAAUUAUAUAUAUAUAUAUACUGUUAUACUGUAUAGUAGCUAAUAUUCACUGCAGAUUUAGUUUUGCUAUAAAUUUGUGGCCAUGGUACAUAAUACGAAAAAAAAUAAUCAUGCGAAUAAUGAUAUAUACAUGCAAAAGUAUAGCAGUGUUUGCAGUAACUGCAGAAUGUUUCUAAGUUAUGGUGACGCAAAAUUUAAUACAAGCGUCUGGGAGUCUUAACUUACAUAAAUGGAGACAAAUUUGAAAUGUUAACUCUGUGAAAUUAUACUUCAAUACAGUAGUCUAAGCAUUUACUUGUGUGUUAGAUUUUCAUGGACUGUUCUUGGUAUGAAUUUGGUUACAAGUGCAUUAUUUUGUAAUGGUAAAUUAGUGUUAUACCAAUAUUUGAGAAAUGUUGUUUUUUAAAAACAAGUUGAUAUUCUUAUGUCACAAUGCCUGUGCUGUUGUUUACACAAAUGAGUGAAUUUUCAUGAAAGUCUUAUAUCAUCUGUGAUGCUCAUUAUAUCAAUUAUAAUUAUACAAUGAAGAAAUUUCAAUCUAUUUCAUUGGAUGAUAUUCAUUGCAAACCCUUGGCAAGUAUUUGGUGCGGACAUGAGUUUUAUUUCUCUGGUUGGGACUUUUUGUCACUUACCUACAAGGGAGGUAAUCCUGUAAAUCCUUGUUUUUUAACCUGAUGUCACAAUGUUGAGUACACGUUGAAAUGUCUAGGCACUUAAUGUUGAUUAUGCUAAAUUAUUUCAUUAAAUUCUGAUGAAUAUUCAGGAAAAAAAUUCAUCAGCGAUGAAUGCCUACAUUAAUUUAUCUAACAAGUUUGUAUAUUAAUGUUACAUGCAUGAUACUGAGGCUCAAAUGUUUCCAUUUCAUUUCAGACCUAAUAGUCCAAACUGGAUCAUUAUCUUAGCUUUGUUAAAUUGUUAUGUAUUAAGUAUAGAUUUUCUAAGAGAAAUAUCCAUUUGACUGAUAGAAGAAAUAUCAGCUUUGAUGAAUGUGCAUGUUACUGAUAUGGAUAUCAUUUAAGCAGAAUUUAUAGGUUUGAUAUUAUUACUCAUAUAAAAUAUUACUCAAGAUAUUAUUUUCUAGCUUCAUUUCUGGGUGACCAUGCAGUUCUAGAUUUUUACUGUGAUUAUACAGGUGGUAUCUUUAAUACCGGGUAGUCCAAAUUUCAUUUCAAUAGUAGCAGUUUUUAAUUUUUUUUUUUAUUUAUUUACAUCUACAAUACAUCCAUAUUUUUGAAUUGCAAGGCUAUUGCGCAACCUCCCCCCCCCCCCCCCCCCUCAAUUUUUUUUAUUUUCUUUCAACAUGGUUUGAGAAUUUCUUCCAUCAUCUCUUGUGUAUAUAACAACACCUUAUGACGAUUCUUACGAGGACAAAACGGCUGUAUGAUGCAGUUUAUUUUAUUUUUGACUCUUUUGUUUUUGUACCUAACUCUGAAUCAAUUUGUACUGAAAGAUGCAAAUAUCUUAUCAUAAUUUUUUACAACCCAACAAUGCCUAACCAAGUUGAAAUGAAAAAUAUUUUUUACAGAAAUUGUGUAGCAGAUUAUAAUUUUUUCGGCCAAUUUUACUUCUGUGGUACAGCAUCUACUGUAAAUAUACAUGUUUCAGCAGUAAUCUUAUCUUAGCGCAUUUCGUGCUGAAAAAUUCCGCAUACAGUAAUUUUACGUACUAACAAGGUAUCCUUCACUUUGCUUGAUUUCUGUUACUCUUGUCUGGAUUUGUUUUUGGUUUAGUAGUUUCAUGCCCCAGUUCUUCCAAGCUACCUAACUUCAUAACGGGCUAAUUCAAGUAGUAAAUUAGUUUAAUUAGUUAUUUGAUGCUUUAUGCUGCAAUAUUUUUAUCUCAAGAUUUAAAUUAUAGAACUGUUUGUUGCUUAAUAUUUUCUCCAUGAAUAUGUAUUUAUCUUAAGAAUAUAAAAACAAAGAUGGACCUUUUUUAGAUUCUAGUGUAAUCCAGAUGUAAAUAAGUCCCAUUUUCUACAAUACUCAUUCACCUAUAAAAGCGUUGUGAAGGAAACAACAAAAAAAAAACAUAUCCUGAUGUUGUUGGUAAAAAUAUAUACACUACAGUGAACUCAGUGUAAAACGAACUUUAUUGGGACUAUAUAAUUUGGUUUGUGUAGAGUUCGGAUUGAAUGUCAUAAUUUAAUUGAUAUCUUUGUUGAAUAUAACAAACCUCUUGAAACCCACAUUAUGAUAGCUGUCAUUCUAUUCAUUGAUCAAGAUUCAAUUGAUAUUGGUCAUCUUUGGUGUGAAAACUUUUUUUGAUUUCUAGACCAUACAUGAGCCGACACCGAUUUACACAAAUUAAUGGGAACGAGAAAUAUGUCUGGAUUACAGAAUAGAGAGAGUCCGGAUUGGACAGAGUCUAGUUAAGACAAAGAUUGUGAUUGGAUAGAGUCCAAUUUAGACAAAGAUUUUGAUUGGACAUAGUUUAGUUUAGACAAAGAUCCAGAUUGGACAGAGUUUAGUUUAGACAAAGAUCUAGAUUGGACAGAGUUUAGUUUAGACAAAGAUCCGGAUUGGACAGAGUCUAGUUCAGACAAAAAUCCGGAUCAGACAGAGUCCAGUUUAGACAAAGAUUUUGAUUGGACAGACCAGUUUAGACAAAGAUCUGGAUUUGGACAGAGUCUAGUUCAGACAAAAAUCCGGAUCAGACAGAGUCUAGUUCAGACAAAAAUCCGGAUUAGACAGAGUCAGGUUUAGACAAAAAUCCAGAUCAGACAGAGUCUAGUUCAGACAAAAAUCCAGAUCAGACAGAGUCUAGUUCAGACAAAAAUCCGGAUCAGACAGAGUCAGGUUUAGACAAAGUCCACUAUAUAAUGUCCGUGAUAAACUAUCUGAUCAGGAGUCUGUCAGUAUGGAAAUGUUAAAAUUUUUGGUCACAAAUUUGGUUUUAUACUUACACUUGUGUAUAGCGACCACAUAUGUAAAAUUACUUAUCAUAAUCAUAUGGGAUAAAGAAUUUACCUCAUAAGAUAAGCUAGCAAUAACAAAGUCACUUAAAAUUAACCAUUGUAGUCAAAUUUUAAUAUCAAAAUGUAGCCCGAGGUAAUUUACACCUGCACAAGCCUAUGAGGAACAUCACCUAAAUGCAACAAAAAUGUCGCGAUUUUUUUCACACACUUUCUCUCUCAUUUUGGAUGUGGAAUGAGGGAGAUCUCCCUCAUUGGAGGUUUUAGAGGUUGACAUGUAUGAAAGUGCUUUGGGCUGUCAUUUCUCUUGUUAAUUUGUUAUGCAAUUGUUAUAUUUACAAAUAUUUUUAUACCUUUGUAUAAGCAAUAGCUUUGUUAUAUUAAACGGUUUUCUUUCUUUACUGUGAUUUAAAAAUGCUCUCUGAUUUCCAUGGAAGGCAUUACAGACUAUGUACUAGAUGGUUUGUUUGUUUGCUGGGUUUAUCACCCCAUAAACAGCCAGGGUCAUUUUGAGGCGAUGUCUCCUUGUAGUAGUUGGUGACUACCUCACUGUACAACAUACAAGAGGUCCGUCACAUACUAUCCAGAGCAAUUAAGGUAAAGUGUCUUGCCCAAGGACACAGCCAUGACUGCACACUGACCUGUUUCUCAGCUUUCCAAGAAACACAAACUGACACGGGUAGGGAGCAUCGAACCAUGUGCCUCAGGGUCUUCACCCAAGACAAUAUGACCGGCACUCUAACCUACUGAGCUAUCACAGCCCCUUAAGUACUGAAGCUAUAACUGACAAAAAGGGCUGUUAAUAUGAUAACUACCACUAAAAGUCUGUCUGCAGUUUGUUACGGUGUUAAAAAGUGUUGUAAUAUGAUAACUUCCAAUAAAAGCCUGUCUGCAGUAUGUUAUUGUGUAAAAAAGCACCAAGAUAUGAUAACCACCAAUAAAAGUCUGUCUGCAGUAUGUUAUUGUGU